CGCCUUCUGAAAUUUUUUAUAUAGAAGGUCCCGCCUGCCCUGUGACCAAGUGUUUAACGGCCGCGGUAUUUUAACCGUGCGAAGGUAGCGCAAUCAAUUGUCUUUUAAAUGGAGACCUGUAUGAAUGGCAUAACGAGGGUUUAACUGUCUCUUUAUCCCUGUCAAUGAAACUGAUCUACCCGUGCAGAAGCGGGCAUAAGAAUACAAGACGAGAAGACCCUAUGGAGCUUUAGACGCCCACCACCCAUAACCCAGCAGGCCUCUUAAGGAGCCCUUAACAUGAUGGGCGUGGCACAAACGUCUUCGGUUGGGGCGACCGCGGGAGAGAAGAGAGCUCCCACGUGGAUUGGGUUUGUCCUAAAACCCAGAGCCGCACCUCUAAGUCACAAAACAUUUGACCAGAAAUGAUCCGGCUUACUGCCGAUCAACGGACCAAGUUACCCUAGGGAUAACAGCGCAAUCCCCUCCCAGAGUCCAUAUCGACGAGGGGGUUUACGACCUCGAUGUUGGAUCAGGACAUCCUAAUGGUGCAGCCGCUAUUAAGGGUUCGUUUGUUCAACGAUUAAAGUCCU
Molecule: ribosomal RNA, 572 nt
Filed under: Etrumeus teres (red-eye round herring)
Lineage: Eukaryota; Metazoa; Chordata; Actinopteri; Clupeiformes; Dussumieriidae
Description: partial 16S ribosomal RNA
Rfam family: Bacterial large subunit ribosomal RNA
Source: RNAcentral